GUGGACUGGAAACAAAACGUAAACGGUCGUGUCGUAACCACGGCCGCCGCAGUCACCGGCACCGCCGCCGUCAAUUGAGCAUGCGACUGCCGUCGAUUUGUGAAAACCGACGACAACCUACCCGCCGUUCUGAAGUGAGGUUAGGUGAAAUGCACUAACUACUGAUUUUUCUUUUCUUUCGCGUCGGUCCGGACUAUCCCGUCGAACAAAGCGUAUCCCGCCCCUUUCGAUUCACCGCUACCUCAUUCCAGUCCAAACAUUCUCGUUCGUCGCAAGAUACAUGAAAUAUCCGGAUUUCAUACAAUCCUUCGAAUGGAGCUUAGGCCUGCCUAGUGGUAUUGGACCUCUUGGAUUUUCCCGGGUACUCUUUUGAUCACGGAUUCUUCUUUCCUCCGGUUCUAACUUGCCCGUUCUAGUUUUUUUUUUUGUUUUUUUUAUUCUGUUUGCAAUAUCUAGCUUUUUUAACUCAUGAUUGUAUCUCGAUCUUCCUAAUUUUUUACAUAAUACACUAACACGAAGAAUAACUAAACCAAUAGGUCAAAACUAUAACUCAUAAUAUACUGUCGGGUUAGGUAUAUUUGUAUCGUAGACGAAUUUUUAAACAGCAGAUCGCAU
This is a non-coding RNA of Cinara cedri, 615 nucleotides long. The record is from the annotation of a GenBank genome assembly. Lineage: Eukaryota; Metazoa; Arthropoda; Insecta; Hemiptera; Aphididae.